UACGUAGGGCGCAAGCGUUGUCCGGAAUUAUUGGGCGUAAAGAGCUCGUAGGCGGUCUGUCGCGUCGGAUGUGAAAGCCCGGGGCUUAACCCCGGGUCUGCAUUCGAUACGGGCAGACUAGAGUGUGGUAGGGGAGAUCGGAAUUCCUGGUGUAGCGGUGGAAUGCGUAGAGAUCCGGAAGAACACCGGUGGCGAAGGCGGGUCUCUGGGCCCGAUACUGACGCUGAGGAGCGAAAGCGUGGGGAGCGAACAGG
This 254-nucleotide ribosomal RNA is filed under the name uncultured bacterium. Its description in RNAcentral is "partial 16S ribosomal RNA". It matches the Rfam family "Bacterial small subunit ribosomal RNA", at positions 524 to 776 of the family's 1533-position model. The record is from RNAcentral.